This 279-nucleotide ribosomal RNA is filed under the name uncultured bacterium. RNAcentral describes it as "partial 16S ribosomal RNA". It matches the Rfam family "Bacterial small subunit ribosomal RNA", at positions 506 to 784 of the family's 1533-position model. The record is from RNAcentral.
UGCCAGCCGCCGCGGUAAUACGUAGGAUCCAAGCGUUGUCCGGAAUUAUUGGGUUUAAAGGGUACGCAGGCUGGCAAUUAAGUCAGUGGUGAAAUCCCACCGCUCAACGGCGGAACUGCCAUUGAUACUGGUUGUCUUGAGUACAGUAGAGGUAUGCGGAAUGUGACAUGUAGCGGUGAAAUGCAUAGAUAUGUCAUAGAACACCGAUUGCGAAGGCAGCAUACUGGACUGUAACUGACGCUGAGGUACGAAAGCGUGGGGAGCGAACAGGAUUAGAUA